GCCGAGGUGGCGGAACUGGAAUACGCGCUAGCCUUAGGAGCUAGUGUCCGAAAGGACUUGUGGGUUCAAAUCCCACCCUCGGCA
Molecule: non-coding RNA, 84 nt
Organism: Candidatus Sungbacteria bacterium GWC2_49_10
Lineage: Bacteria; Candidatus Sungiibacteriota
Source: Rfam